This 406-nucleotide ribosomal RNA is filed under the name uncultured bacterium. RNAcentral describes it as "partial 16S ribosomal RNA". It matches the Rfam family "Bacterial small subunit ribosomal RNA", at positions 28 to 526 of the family's 1533-position model. The record is from RNAcentral.
GAUGAACGCUAGCUACAGGCUUAACACAUGCAAGUCGAGGGACCGGCGCACGGGUGAGUAACACGUAUCCAACCUGCCCUUUACUCGGGGAUAGCCUUUCGCAAGAAAGAUUAAUACCCGAUGUAAAGGAUGGGGAUGCGUUCCAUUAGGUUGUUGGUGAGGUAACGGCUCACCAAGCCUUCGAUGGAUAGGGGUUCUGAGAGGAAGGUCCCCCAGAGUGGAGCUGAGACACGGUCCACACUCCUACGGGAGGCAGCAGUGAGGAGUAUUGGUCGAUGGGCGUUAGCCUGAACCAGCCAAGUAGCGUGAAGGAUGAAUGCGUAUGGGUCGUAAAUUUCUUUUAUAUAAGAAAAUGUAUUAUAUGAAUAAGGAUCGGCUAACUACGUGCCAGCAGCCGCGGUAAUUC